AUUGAACGCUGGCGGCAUGCUUUACACAUGCAAGUCGAACGGUAACAGGCCGCAAGGUGCUGACGAGUGGCGAACGGGUGAGUAAUGCAUCGGAACGUGCCCAGUCGUGGGGGAUAACUACUCGAAAGAGUAGCUAAUACCGCAUACGAUCUAUGGAUGAAAGCGGGGGACCGUAAGGCCUCGCGCGAUUGGAGCGGCCGAUGUCAGAUUAGGUAGUUGGUGGGGUAAAGGCUCACCAAGCCAACGAUCUGUAGCUGGUCUGAGAGGACGACCAGCCACACUGGGACUGAGACACGGCCCAGACUCCUACGGGAGGCAGCAGUGGGGAAUUUUGGACAAUGGGCGCAAGCCUGAUCCAGCAAUGCCACGUGCAGGAAGAAGGCCUUCGGGUUGUAAACUGCUUUUGUACGGAACGAAACGGCUCUGGUUAAUACCCGGGGCUAAUGACGGUACCGUAAGAAUAAGCGCCGGCUAACUACGUG
Molecule: ribosomal RNA, 482 nt
Filed under: uncultured bacterium
Lineage: Bacteria
Description: partial 16S ribosomal RNA
Rfam family: Bacterial small subunit ribosomal RNA
Source: RNAcentral